Molecule: long non-coding RNA, 3568 nt
Organism: Lytechinus pictus (painted urchin)
Lineage: Eukaryota; Metazoa; Echinodermata; Echinoidea; Temnopleuroida; Toxopneustidae
Exons: 2
Source: RefSeq, a predicted model, not a curated record
UACCGUGUUCUUACUUGGUCUUUGUUGGUAAAAUAAUGUCAAAGUGCAUACUAUUAUCGUUAGAUUAAGAUUUUUUUUGCAAUGCGAUCGUGUAGGCUACCGACAAUGAUAAGAAAGAAAGUCCCGGUUUAAGGUCUAAAUCUGAAAAAUUCAGCUUGCACUCGCAUCAUAUAUUUAAUAGAAAUUUCGCUCAGAAUAUCGAAAAUUUCCGCUCGCCGCGCUUCACGCUGACAUGAAAGGACAGGUCCACCCCAACAAAAAGUUGAUUUUAAUAAAAAGAGAAAAAUCGAACAAGCAUAACACUGAAAAUUUCAUCAAAAUCAGAUGUAAAAUAAUAAAGUUAUGACAUUUUAAAGUUUCGCUUAAUUUCACAAAACAGUUAUAUGCAAAUCUUGGUCGGUAUGCAAAUGAGGAGACUGUUGACGUCAUCCACUCGCUAUUUCUUUUGUAUUUUAUUAUAUGAAAUAUUCCAAUUUUCUCCACAUUAUCAAGUGAAACAGUGAUUAAUUCCUCCCUGAACAUGUGGAAUUAGCAUUGUUUAAUACUAAAUGGUUCAGUCAAGUUGGUCCUUAUGGUCAAAUCUGUAAAAAACGAAAUAUUGUAUAAUUCAAACAAUAAAAAACAAAAGACAUAGUGAGUGAUGGACAUCAUGGACUGACCCAUUUGCAUGUCACUGAGUUGUGCAUAUCACUGUUUUGUGAAAAAUAAGCGAAACUUUAGAAUGCCAUAACUUUCUUAUUUUACAUCCAAUCUUGAUGAAAUUUUCAGUGUUAUGCUAGUUUGAAUUUUCUCUAUUUAUUCAAGUCAACAUUUUGCUGGGAUGGACUUGACCUUUAAGAUACACAGAUUGUUAAAUUGAAUAUGCAUAUCUUGAGUUUGUUCUUUAUAUAAAAAAAGUGUGUGAAAAUGUUAAUUUUUCAAGUCAAAACAUCAAAAGUUCUCUGUACUAACAGUGAUUAAAAUGUCCCGGUUUAAAGUCUAAAUCUCAACAAAAAUUUCAGCCCGUGCUUCGUGCUAGCAUCAUAUAUUUAGUGAGAUCAAUAUUCUCUCCACAAUUUUUCUUCAUGUUGAUGUUGACAAUGCUUAAAAAUUUACUUUGGGUCAGUAUUAUAACAAAAAUUUCAGCUCGCACUUUGCACUCGCAUUGUGUUUAUUGAGAUACACACCUUGUUCAAUUACAUAUGCGGAAUCUAAGUUUGUUCUUACACAAAAACGUGUGAAAAUGUUAAAUUUUCAAGUCAAAGUAUCAAGAGUUGUCAGCUCAUACUUCUGUACCGACAGUGAACCAUUUUCCUUCAGUGCUUAAAAUGUUCCUUUUUGUGUCAGCAAAUCAAAAUUUCAGCUCACGCUUCGCGCUCGCAUUAUGUUUAUUGAGAUACACAGCUUGUACAAUUACAGAUGCAUAAACUGAGUUUGAACCAUUUUCCUUCAUGUUGGACAGUGCUUAAAAUGUUCCCUUUCGGGUCAACAAGUAAAAAUAUCCAAAAAUUUUCAAGCUUGCACUUCGCACUCGCAUUAAUGUUUGAGAUACACAGCUCUUUCAAUUACAGAUGCAGAAACAGUUUUAAUGUAAAAACACAUAAAAAUAUUUAGUUUUCAACGCCAUCAUUCAGUUAUACCCUUCCUUUUCAUGACAAAAACUGCAUGAAAGGUUCGAUAUCAAAUCUAAGUUUGAUUAGAUAACCAUCAAGUUCAUGAUUGCAAAAAAGUAAUCGGUACCGAUAUUUGUUGGUAAUCAGGGCCUCCACACCCCCCUAAUUAAAGGCCUAGCGACGCCCCUGAUUGAACCAAUCUCUUAUUUAUAUGUGCUUAGUAAAGAUUAUUGUAAAAAUAUUGUCCAUUUUGACUGAAUGGAAUUUGUGUAGUGCCCUUGUAAAGUUUGAUCAAUUUUUUUAAAAACCCAGUUUGUUAUUAUAAAAAAGAAUUAUUAACCUCUAACUACGGUAAUGUUCAGGAAUUCUUAAUUUCAUUGCAAGCAUAUAUUGUACACUAUAAUGAUGGUGUAUUAUUUUGUGAUUUGAAUAUGAUUCUUUGGGUGCAUACUACAGGUAUUUGUAUGUAGCUUCUAACAAUAUGGAAUUUUGCCGGUAAGCUUCCAUCCACUCUGCAGACUGGUAAACGCUGAUUUAUCUAUCGCCAAUUCGUCCACUUAUCAGUUGGUCUAGCUUCAUUUAGUCUAAUUAUGCCAUUCCGUCCAUCAACAUUUUGUCUAAUAACUAUUUGGUCCAAUAAACGGUUACAGCUCGAUCAUUAAAUAUGUGAGUUGGUUUCCGCAUGAUAACAUAUCAAAUAUUUAACGGAUUAAAUUUUUUUGGUGUGUAGGUAGAUGACACCAAAAUACAGGCUAAAUUCGAAUUCGGAGUCCGCAGGUCAGAGCUCAUAAAAUAUGUAAGUUGGUUUCCGCAUGAUAGCUAAUGAAAUAUUCAACGGAUUUAAACAAUUUUUGGUGUGCAGGUAGAUGACACCAAAAUACAGGCAAAGUUCGAAUUAGUUCGCAGGUCAAAGCUCAUUAUAUAUGCAAGUUGGUUUCUGCAUGAUAACUUUGGAAAUAUUCACCAGAUAUUAAAAAUGUUUGGUGUCUGGGUAGAUGACACCAAAAUACAGUCGGGUCACAUCAAAUGAGCUGACUGUCAUAUUCUGUCAGAGAUUAUUAUGGAAAGGGCGAGUCUUUAGGUCAAAAUUUGUUCAUUCUAAAAUUUCUAGUCUUUUAAGUCAUUUCGCCCAAUUAACACUUAUCCAAUUUUAUGGACUAAAUGGCUAUUGGACCAACUGCAUGGUUAUAAGAUGAAAUGGUGAGUGGACGAAAUGGUAAUAAGACCAUGUGGAUAUUGGACGAAUUGAUGGUAGACCAAAUGAUAGUAGACGAGUUGGCAGUUGGACAAAUUGGCAUUAGACCAAAUGGAAAUAUACCUACAGUCUUACUCGUGUAGAUUGAUAAGCCACAUUUCCCCCCAGUGCUGACUGGAUCAGAUCAUUGGCCUUGGGUAUUCUGAGUCCCUACUCAAAUAUAGGAUUAUAAAUCCUUUCUUUAUUGAAAUAACUUUUGUAUUCCUUUCAAAGUCAACAAUGAGGGCAACAUUUCAUCCAUUAUUAUGUUGAAAGUUCAGUGGUAUUCAUAUCCCUGUGAAAAAGAGGGACAGACUAUUAAUUUCUCUAGGGGACAAACAAAGUACCACAAGAUGACCUGUAAACGUUAGUGCUAACAGAGGCCCUGUUACAACCAGUAAUGUGGCAGCGAUUCCUAAUGUUACAGCAAUGUAUUACUUACACAUUGAUAUAAAUGUUUUGACUUCACAAUCUGAAAUAUGUGACUGGGCUUACUGUUAGCGCUUUGUUAGGCUAACGUUUCUGUGCUGCUGGCACUGAUCUUUACCUUGUCCAUGCUUGUUUGUGGCCAAUUUUGGACAUCUCGGGCUCAGAAUCGCUAUCUGACAAAGUUCUCAGUUGGUGGAAGCAUGUUGUAUGUCUAGUCAAUAGGUUUUAUUUUAUCAUAUGUGGCUGUAUGGUGUCUAACACAAUGUUUACCUUGAUAUUAUUACUCUUGCAAUAAACUAUAUAUUUCAUCACA